This 1647-nucleotide long non-coding RNA is filed under the name Aotus nancymaae (Ma's night monkey). RNAcentral describes it as "lncRNA (ENSANAG00000039212.1)". The record is from RNAcentral. Lineage: Eukaryota; Metazoa; Chordata; Mammalia; Primates; Aotidae.
CGGGGUGGGAUCCGACGGCCCCGGUGCUCCCGGCGCGGUCAGCUGAGCUCAGGCGCGCAGACAUCCUUUGAUUAAGGAGGGUAUUUCGGGGAGUGCAGGCUGUGCAGAAGAUCACGGCUGUGCCCUGUGGUGCUGUCAGUAGUGACAGAUCCCAGAUGGGGCCGCUACUGUAUGGCAGAUUGAGUUUCUCAGCAGAAAACUCACCCUCCCUCCUAAACGUCUUCAAAAACCUUCUGCAGAUACUCCAGGUCUCUUCGUGUGAAACUGAAAAAGUCUAACUCCAAAGUUGGUUGUGAGUGCAUGUGUGUGUAUAUGUUACGUGUUUUUUUCUUCCUUCCUCUUUUUUUCUCUGCACUUCCUCCUCCUCCUCCGAGCAUCUUCGACCCGCAGAGCUACCUGGCUGCUAUAGCGUAGAUGUGGCGGGCCUUGGGGGAUUCCUGUUCGCCUAGCUCACAGCGCCAUGCCGACGACCCAGCACCGAAGGGCCCCGAAGGCAAUCCGGUAUCCAAGACUGGCUCCCGGGAAGCAGUCGCGGCCGGGAGAGAGGCGGAAAGGCAGAAAGGAAGGUGCGCCGCACCCAGUUUCCGAGCUCAUUUCCAGGCCCCACCCAUUCCUGCCCUCGCGGUCCUCUUAAACUGUGGAACUUGGCACGUUCCUGCGGGCGAAAAAAAAAAACGAGAGAACAGAAGAAGGGGAGCCCAGAGAGCGCGAAUAUUGUUUUAACAUAAAGAUAAGCAAUUUCUUUUUUCUUCGAGAUACUAGUUCAGCCUCCUCCACCCUACUCCCACAGCCCUUGGGGCGAGGGCAGCUUGCAGAGCCUCUGUUUGGCUUACAAAAGAGCCUCUGGGGAGCAGAGAGAAAGCUAAAAAUACCUCCGUCGCUAGACCCGAGGUCUGGGAGGAGCUCGUCACUUGCUCUGCUCCGGCCCUGUCCAGGAGGGCGCUUUCGCCCUUUCCACUCCGAGGGCCGGGCUGGCGAGGCUAGGGACCCACACUAGUUUUGCCUUCACUUUGCGACCAGACCCGGGUCUUUUGUGGCCAAGCCGGUUACUCUUAGUUAAGAAGACCCCCAAUCCAAUCUCUGGUAAAAUCAGAUGCCACACUUUUGAUGCUUUCCAAUAAGCCCCCUCCACAGACUCAGUUUUUAAAAAGAAAAGAGGUGGGAUCACUAGGCCUCAUUUUAUACCAGAAACAAUCCGGUCACGCAAGGAUUCUUCUCAGGUUUGUGUGAUACGCUGUGUGGAUGUACGCAGUUACUUGCAGAACCAGUGAACCCCUUAUUUCAGCGCUCUCCAGGAAAAAAAAAAAAUAGUUACUUCCCUCUCAUUUUUCCCCUUGGUUAUCCGUAAAAACGCAAAACUCUUUAUAUAAAGGCAAAACACACAGUGAAUUUCAAAACUCCCGCUCGCCCCCUCUGGAAGGCAGCUUUUCUUUUCACUGCCCAUGCUGGAUAAGAGUGGUUUAUUUUUAUUUUUUUUCUUGUACCCACAUGCCUUGUAAAAGGUUCCUGUGCACGGGCCUGGCCCCCCUCUGAUGACCGCAGGGCCUUGCUUCCAGACUGCAGUCCCCGCCACUUGGUUUUUAAGUCCUCGCCUGGAGCCGAGGUGUAAUUGUGACCCCGCCCGAGCCCCGAGCCUCCCGGGGGGAC